RNAcentral lists this transfer RNA (75 nucleotides) under Candidatus Aenigmatarchaeota archaeon. Its description in RNAcentral is "tRNA-Arg". It matches the Rfam family "tRNA". From Rfam's summary of the family: Transfer RNA (tRNA) molecules are approximately 80 nucleotides in length. Lineage: Archaea; Nanobdellati; Candidatus Aenigmatarchaeota. The record is from RNAcentral.
GUCCCUGUAGCUCAGCUUGGAUAGAGCACUUGCCUCCUAAGCAAGGGGUCGCGCGUUCGAAUCGCGCCGGGGACG